UAAUUCUGGACAUCGUUUAAC
Molecule: non-coding RNA, 21 nt
Filed under: Sclerotinia sclerotiorum
Lineage: Eukaryota; Fungi; Ascomycota; Leotiomycetes; Helotiales; Sclerotiniaceae
Source: RNAcentral